GAGGUUGUGCCCUUGAGGCGUGGCUUCCGGAGCUAACGCGUUAAGUCGACCGCCUGGGGAGUACGGCCGCAAGGUUAAAACUCAAAUGAAUUGACGGGGGCCCGCACAAGCGGUGGAGCAUGUGGUUUAAUUCGAUGCAACGCGAAGAACCUUACCUGGUCUUGACNNCCACGGAAGUUUUCAGAGAUGAGAAUGUGCCUUCGGGAACCGUGAGACAGGUGCUGCAUGGCUGUCNNNNGCUCNNNUUGUGAAAUGUUGGGUUAAGUCCCGCAACGAGCGCAACCCUUAUCCUUUGUUGCCAGCGGUCCGGCCGGGAACUCAAAGGAGACUGCCAGUGAUAAACUGGAGGAAGGUGGGGAUGACGUCAAGUCAUCAUGGCCCUUACGACCAGGGCUACACACGUGCUACAAUGGCGCAUACAAAGAGAAAGCGACCUCGCGAGAGCGAAGCGGACCUCAUAAAGUGCGUCGUAGUCCGGAUUGGAGUCUGCGAACUCGAC
Molecule: ribosomal RNA, 499 nt
Filed under: uncultured bacterium
Lineage: Bacteria
Description: bacterial SSU rRNA
Rfam family: Bacterial small subunit ribosomal RNA
Source: RNAcentral